Molecule: ribosomal RNA, 585 nt
Filed under: uncultured bacterium
Lineage: Bacteria
Description: partial 16S ribosomal RNA
Rfam family: Bacterial small subunit ribosomal RNA
Source: RNAcentral
UGGGGAAUUUUGGACAAUGGGCGAAAGCCUGAUCCAGCAAUGCCGCGUGUGUGAAGAAGGCCUUCGGGUUGUAAAGCACUUUUGUCCGGAAAGAAAUCCUUGGCUCUAAUACAGUCGGGGGAUGACGGUACCGGAAGAAUAAGCACCGGCUAACUACGUGCCAGCAGCCGCGGUAAUACGUAGGGUGCAAGCGUUAAUCGGAAUUACUGGGCGUAAAGCGUGCGCAGGCGGUUUGCUAAGACCGAUGUGAAAUCCUCGGGCUCAACCUGGGAACUGCAUUGGUGACUGGCAGGCUAGAGUAUGGCAGAGGGGGGUAGAAUUCCACGUGUAGCAGUGAAAUGCGUAGAGAUGUGGAGGAAUACCGAUGGCGAAGGCAGCCCCCUGGGCCAAUACUGACGCUCAUGCACGAAAGCGUGGGGAGCAAACAGGAUUAGAUACCCUGGUAGUCCACGCCCUAAACGAUGUCAACUAGUUGUUGGGGAUUCAUUUCCUUAGUAACGUAGCUAACGCGUGAAGUUGACCGCCUGGGGAGUACGGUCGCAAGAUUAAAACUCAAAUGAAUUGACGGGGUCAUAGCUGUUUCCU